ACGGCUCAGUAACACUUGGAUAAUCUGCCCUUGGGUGGAGGAUAACCUCGGGAAACUGAGAAUAAUACUCCAUAGGUCUAGGAUGCUGGAAUGCACUUAGAUUGAAAGUUCCGGCGCCUAAGGAUAAGUCUGCGGACUAUCAGGUUGUAGUCAGGGUAAAGUCCUGACUAGCCUACAACGGAUACGGGUUGUGAGAGCAAUAACCCGGAGACGAUAUCUGAGACACGAUAUCGGGCCCUACGGGGCGCAGCAGGCGCGAAACCUUCACAAUGUGCGAAAGCGCGAUGAGGGGAUCCCAAGUGCUUGCUCGUAAGAGUAAGCUGUUUUUAUGUCUAAAAAGCAUAGAGAGUAAGGGCUGGGUAAGACGGGUGCCAGCCGCCGCGGUAAUACCUGCAGCUCAAGUAGUGACCGCUAUUAUUGGGCCUAAAACGUUCGUAGCCGGUUUGAUAAAUGCCUGGGUAAAUAGUGUAGCUUAACUAUACGAAUUCCGGGUAGACUGUUAAACUUGAGACCGGGAGAGGCUAGAGGUACUCCUGGGGUAGAGGUGAAAUUCUGUAAUCCUGAGGGGACCACCAGUGGCGAAGGCGUCUAGCUAGAACGGGUCUGACGGUGAGGAACGAAGCCCUGGGGCGCGAACCGGAUUAGAUACCCGGGUAGUCCAGGGUGUAAACGCUGCUUGCUUGAUGUUAGUUGGGCUCCGAGCCCAAUUAGUGUCGGAGAGAAGUUGUUAAGCAAGCUGCCUGGGAAGUACGAUCGCAAGAUUGAAACUUAAAGGAAUUGGCGGGGGAGCACAGCAACGGGUGGAGCGUGCGGUUUA
This 817-nucleotide ribosomal RNA is filed under the name uncultured archaeon. Its description in RNAcentral is "bacterial SSU rRNA". It matches the Rfam family "Archaeal small subunit ribosomal RNA", at positions 85 to 904 of the family's 1478-position model. The record is from RNAcentral.